AGCGAACGUUAGCGGCGCGCCUAACACAUGCAAGUCGCACGAGAAAGGGAGCAAUCCCUGGUACAGUGACGCACGGGUGAGUAACACGUAGAUGACCUUCCCUGGAGUGGUGGAUAACCUGCCGAAAGGCGGGCUAAUACAGCAUGGGACCACAUGGUUUUGACCGAGUGGUGAAAGCGGGCCUCUGUUCACAAGCUCGCGCUCUGGGAUGGGUCUGCGUCCCAUCAGCUAGUUGGUGAGGUAAUGGCUCACCAAGGCAUCGACGGGUAGCUGGUCUGAGAGGAUGACCAGCCACACUGGAACCGAGACACGGUCCAGACUCCUACGGGAGGCAGCAGUGGGGAAUCUUGCGCAAUGGGCGAAAGCCUGACGCAGCGACGCCGCGUGGGUGAUGAAGGCCUCGGUUGUAAGACCUCGUGGGAGGACGGAACCGUACGGGGACGGAACGA
Molecule: ribosomal RNA, 449 nt
Filed under: uncultured bacterium
Lineage: Bacteria
Description: bacterial SSU rRNA
Rfam family: Bacterial small subunit ribosomal RNA
Source: RNAcentral